Molecule: long non-coding RNA, 750 nt
Organism: Ictalurus punctatus (channel catfish)
Lineage: Eukaryota; Metazoa; Chordata; Actinopteri; Siluriformes; Ictaluridae
Exons: 2
Source: RefSeq, a predicted model, not a curated record
CUCUUGAACCGCGAUCAAAACAGUGACGCCUGCAGGCACAGCAAUCAGUAAGAUCAGACCGGGGGUUGCCAGACUGGAUGUUUUGGAAAACACUGUGCAGGGAAAGUUUUUUGGGCUAGAGAUCAGGGUUGGAGGGAGUCUGGAGUCUAUCCCAGGGAACUACAAGGCAGGGACACCUGGAACGGGGUGCAAACCCAUCGCAGGGCACAAUCACGCACCCAUUCACACACUAUGGACAAUCUGGAAAUGACGAUCAGACUACAAUGCAUGUCCUUGAACUAGGUGAACGCCUGCGUACGCAGGACGGAGGCGCGAUUCAAACCCCCAACCCCAAAGGUGCACUGCAAACGUGCUAACCUUUAAGGCAAUGUGCGCCCCACAGCAAUUUGUCCAUAAUCCAUAAAAUAAAUGUUAUUAUUUAAGUGUCUUACUUUUUAUCCAUUUAUGGUUGAAUUUAAUUUAAUGUGUGUAAAGUCAGAGAAACAAGUUAGUCCCUGUUUUCCUGUUACAUUAUAGCAGCUAUAAACAGUAGUUCCUUCAACAGCCUCGCUCUUGUUUUUCUCUCUCUAUAAAAUACUUUUUUUCAAACAUAGAUUGUCAGGUUAUCCUGAGGAAAAUGCUGUGAUUGUUACAACCCACUAACACUGGAGACUCCUUCCAUAAACAUCUCCUCACAGAAACGUUCACCAUAUCAGCGAUUAUAUGGGUGUUUUUUUUUCUUUGUUAAAUAAAGACAUAUUUCAAUCUGUA